Molecule: ribosomal RNA, 440 nt
Filed under: uncultured bacterium
Lineage: Bacteria
Description: partial 16S ribosomal RNA
Rfam family: Bacterial small subunit ribosomal RNA
Source: RNAcentral
CCUACGGGAGGCAGCAGUGGGGAAUAUUGCACAAUGGGGGAAACCCUGAUGCAGCGACGCCGCGUGAGUGAUGAAGUAUUUCGGUAUGUAAAGCUCUAUCAGCAGGGAAGAUAAUGCCGGUACCUGACUAAGAAGCUCCGGCUAAAUACGUGCCAGCAGCCGCGGUAAUACGUAUGGAGCAAGCGUUAUCCGGAUUUACUGGGUGUAAAGGGAGCGCAGACGGCAGGGCAAGUCUGAUGUGAAAGUCCGGGGCUCAACCCCGGGACUGCUUUGGAAACUGUCCGGCUAGAGUGCAGGAGAGGUAAGUGGAAUUCCUAGUGUAGCGGUGGAAUGCGUAGAUAUUAGGAGGAACACCAGUGGCGAAGGCGGCUUACUGGACUGUAACUGACGUUGAGGCACGAAAGCGUGGGGAGCAAACAGGAUUAGAUACCCGAGUAGUC